AGCACACCCAGAAACCGGCUCGCAGUCUCCCGCAGCCUAACUCCAUCCCGACUUGAACCUGACUAUUUUAUUACAGUGUACUAGAUAGUCAGAAUGACUUCUAUCAAGACACUUAUUUACUUUCUUUGUGUUUUAUACUGCACUGUCCAGUCAGAAGGAGGACCGCUCAGAAGGAGGUCAGUCAGCGAGGUACAAUUAAUGCACAACCUUGGGGAGCGCAGACACUUGCAGGAGAG
Molecule: long non-coding RNA, 236 nt
Organism: Brienomyrus brachyistius
Lineage: Eukaryota; Metazoa; Chordata; Actinopteri; Osteoglossiformes; Mormyridae
Exons: 3
Source: RefSeq, a predicted model, not a curated record